GGGCCCGCACAAGCGGUGGAGUAUGUGGUUUAAUUCGAUGCAACGCGAAGAACCUUACCAGGGUUUGACAUCCUGCGAAUCUCUUGGAAACUUGAGAGUGCCUUCGGGAGCGCAGUGACAGGUGGUGCAUGGCUGUCGUCAGCUCGUGUCGUGAGAUGUUGGGUUAAGUCCCGCAACGAGCGCAACCCUCGUCCUAUGUUGCCAGCACGUAAUGGUGGGAACUCAUGGGAUACUGCCGGGGUCAACUCGGAGGAAGGUGGGGAUGACGUCAAAUCAUCAUGCCCCUUAUGUCUUGGGCUUCACGCAUGCUACAAUGGCCGGUACAGAGGGCUGCAAUACCGCAAGGUGGAGCGAAUCCCAAAAAGCCGGUCUCAGUUCGGAUUGAGGUCUGCAACUCGACCUCAUG
This 406-nucleotide ribosomal RNA is filed under the name uncultured bacterium. RNAcentral's name for it is "bacterial SSU rRNA". It matches the Rfam family "Bacterial small subunit ribosomal RNA", at positions 917 to 1322 of the family's 1533-position model. The record is from RNAcentral.